UACGUAGGGGGCUAGCGUUGUCCGGAUUUAUUGGGCGUAAAGAGCUCGUAGGUGGUUCGGUAAGUCGGAUGUGAAAUCUCCAGGCUCAACCUGGAGGGGUCAUUCGAUACUGCCGUGACUAGAGUUCGGUAGAGGAGUGUGGAAUUCCUGGUGGAGCGGUGAAAUGCGCAGAGAUCAGGAGGAACACCGGUGGCGAAGGCGGAUCUCUGGGCCAUUACUGACGCUGAGGAGCGAAAGCGUGGGGAGCGAACAGG
This 254-nucleotide ribosomal RNA is filed under the name uncultured bacterium. RNAcentral's name for it is "partial 16S ribosomal RNA". It matches the Rfam family "Bacterial small subunit ribosomal RNA", at positions 524 to 776 of the family's 1533-position model. The record is from RNAcentral.